GUGCUCGCUUUGGAAGCACAUAAACUAAAACUGGAACAAUACAGAGAAGAUUAGCAUGGCCUCUGCACAAAAAAAAAAAAAAAAACUUUUUUUUU
This 95-nucleotide small nuclear RNA is filed under the name Loxodonta africana (African savanna elephant). Lineage: Eukaryota; Metazoa; Chordata; Mammalia; Proboscidea; Elephantidae. The record is from RNAcentral.